This 426-nucleotide ribosomal RNA is filed under the name uncultured bacterium. RNAcentral describes it as "partial 16S ribosomal RNA". It matches the Rfam family "Bacterial small subunit ribosomal RNA", at positions 354 to 796 of the family's 1533-position model. The record is from RNAcentral.
GUGAGGAAUUUUCCGCAAUGGGCGAAAGCCUGACGGAGCAAUGCCGCGUGAAGGAUGAAGGCCUAUGGGUUGUAAACUUCUUUUCUCAGAAAAGAAUUAUGACGGUAUCUGAGGAAUAAGCAUCGGCUAACUCUGUGCCAGCAGCCGCGGUAAGACAGAGGAUGCAAGCGUUAUCAGGAAUGAUUGGGCGUAAAGCGUCUGUAGGUUGUUUAAAAAGUAUUCUGUCAAAGAUUAGGGCUUAACCCUAGAUAGGCAGAAUAAACUUUUAAGCUAGAGUUUGGUAGAGGCAGAGGGAAUGCCCGGUGGAGCGGUGAAAUGCGUAGAUAUCGGGAGGAACACCAAAGGCGAAGGCACUCUGCUGGGCCAAUACUAACACUGAGAGACGAAAGCGAGGGGAGCAAAUGGGAUUAGAAACCCGGGUAGUCC